This 484-nucleotide ribosomal RNA is filed under the name uncultured bacterium. RNAcentral describes it as "partial 16S ribosomal RNA". It matches the Rfam family "Bacterial small subunit ribosomal RNA", at positions 30 to 507 of the family's 1533-position model. The record is from RNAcentral.
AUUGAACGCUGGCGGAAUGCUUUACACAUGCAAGUCGAGCGGCAGCACGGGGGCAACCCUGGUGGCGAGCGGCGAACGGGUGAGUAAUACAUCGGAACAUGCCCAGUCGUGGGGGAUAACACUUCGAAAGAAGUGCUAAUACCGCAUACGUCCUGAGGGGGAAAGCGGGGGAUCGCAAGACCUCGCGCGAUUGGAGUGGCCGAUGUCAGAUUAGCUAGUUGGUGGGGUAAAGGCCUACCAAGGCAACGAUCUGUAGCUGGUCUGAGAGGAUGAUCAGCCACACUGGGACUGAGACACGGCCCAGACUCCUACGGGAGGCAGCAGUGGGGAAUUUUGGACAAUGGGGGCAACCCUGAUCCAGCCAUUCCGCGUGAGUGAAGAAGGCCUUCGGGAUGUAAAGCUCUUUCGGCAGGAACGAAACGGUGAGCUCUAACAUAGCUUGCUAAUGACGGUACCUGAAGAAGAAGCACCGGCUAACUACGUG